UACAGAGGUCUCAAGCGUUGUUCGGAUUCAUUGGGCGUAAAGGGUGCGUAGGCGGCGCGGUAAGUCGGGUGUGAAAUCUCGGAGCUUAACUCCGAAACUGCAUUUGAUACUGGCGUGCUUGAGGACUGGAGAGGAGACUGGAAUUUACGGUGUAGCAGUGAAAUGCGUAGAGAUCGUAAGGAAGACCAGUGGCGAAGGCGGGUCUCUGGACAGUUCCUGACACUGAGGCACGAAGGCCAGGGGAGCAAACGGG
This 253-nucleotide ribosomal RNA is filed under the name uncultured bacterium. RNAcentral's name for it is "partial 16S ribosomal RNA". It matches the Rfam family "Bacterial small subunit ribosomal RNA", at positions 524 to 776 of the family's 1533-position model. The record is from RNAcentral.